Octodon degus (degu) is the source of this 762-nucleotide long non-coding RNA. RefSeq lists it as uncharacterized. The transcript has 2 exons. Lineage: Eukaryota; Metazoa; Chordata; Mammalia; Rodentia; Octodontidae. The record is from RefSeq and is a predicted model, not a curated record.
CUUCAUCUCACUAUGACAUGAUGAUCUGAGCGGCAUCAUUUUGAUUCUUUUGCAUUUGCUCCAGCAUGCUUCCUGGGCUAGAACACAGUGUGAUUUAGAGACAGCCCCACGGGCUGCUGAGGAGAGUGUGCACUAUCUCUUGAUGCACACUGGACGAGGCACUACAGGCCUUGCCUCUCGCCCAAGAACAAGUCACCUUCAUUAAUUUGGGAGGGGACGAUGCAGAGUAAUUGGCCCAGCACCCAGUUCUCCAGGAAAGGACCAUGGCAUUAAUUAUGCAAAGUAAUCUGGAUAUUGGCCUACAGAGAACCAACUAGGCCACUCUGGCAUAACAACUAUAUCAGCAACAAUAAUAGCGUCAAACACAAACUGGACACUGACAGGCCAUGAGACUCAAUAACCUUUAAUUAUAGAAAGUAGAACUGCCCUUAACUAUGCAAAAUAGAUCUAUAAUUAUAGUAUAAACAACAAGACUAAUGAAAUAGAGAUACAUUGCAAAUAUCUACUAAAUGUGACAGCUGUUCCUCCACUAACAAUAGAAAAGAAUUCAACCGUAACAGCAUAGACAUAACUACUUAAAUAUUAGUAAGGCCUCGUGGUUGUACUAGCAAAAAUAGAAGGAGUGGGGAAUAGGAGACUUAAAGAAGAAAAAGUAACCAAUGAAAUGGGAGGAGAGAAGAGUUAGAGGAUUCUGUAAAAGAGUAACAGAAAUGAACAAAUGGGAAAAAGGAAGGGGGAGAGGGAGGGAAGAAGGAAGGAAGG